Long non-coding RNA from Triticum aestivum (bread wheat), 1406 nucleotides. RefSeq lists it as uncharacterized. Lineage: Eukaryota; Viridiplantae; Streptophyta; Magnoliopsida; Poales; Poaceae. The record is from RefSeq and is a predicted model, not a curated record. The transcript is spliced from 3 exons.
GCACGUUCCUCUCGAUAGAUCUUAGGCACGUCACCGCCGCCGCCGCCGCUACCACCUCCUCCGCCGUUCUUCUAUUCCCUUUGGGUCGCUGGUUCUCUAGGAGCCUUGGUUUCUUCUCAUCCUGCCUCUCUCGCCAUGUCUUCUCUCGCUCUGCCCAGUUGCCGUUGUGUGUCCCCAUCGACCGCUGCCGCUGUUCCCUUCCCGUCGAUUGCUGCCGCCGUUCCCUCCCCAUCAUCCGCCGCAUGGAUCGAGUUCUCGCUACCAUCGCCGUUCUGUCUAACACUCUUUCUUAGGGAGGAAGAUGGAGGAUGCGAAGGCUACUAGAAAGCAUGGGAGACCAUCCAGAUCCGUCUUAGGAGCCCACCACUUUUGUUGUUCCGCACCUCACCCUCCGGCAGCGACGCCUUCGAUCUUUCUCUGAGCCGAGCUCCUCGUGUGACUGUGCUCCGAUGGCGCAGCUUCAGGGGAACAGGUUUGUGAAGGAAAAGAAAAGAAAAGGAAUAAGCUGCAGUAAAAUUUUGGUGAAGAACAUUUUUCCAUAGCUUGUGAACACGUUGGUCCUCAGAUUUUGAUUUUUUAUGAUUUGUAGUUAAAGCAUCCUUUUUGUAUUCGAUAACUUUAUUUGUUCACAUACUGCUUGAUGUUGCAUGGUCUACAGUCAAAACACCACUUGAAGAAGAAGAGGUGGGUGCAGGCGCUCAUGGACCAGCUCAACCUGCAGGACAUGGGCAAUACCGCGGCGAGGGUCGGUGCAUGUUGAUAGGCACAGACACCAUCCAUACCCAUGAGAACGGUCUGGUUCAGCAGCUGCAUGCACAUCUGGUGGGUGCGACCUUCAUGCUCGAGCAACGACGACCAGCACGGCAAACAAAUAGGAGAAUUGGCUUUGCUCUCCAUAGGGAAUACAACCAUGAAUUGUUCCACUUUUCAAAGUUUGGAGAUGGUCGAGAUCUGCAUGUGCAGAAGCAUUUCAAGUAAAUUAGGUUUGAAUGGCAGGUACCAUAUGGUAGGAAAUAUGUUCUAUAUGGUGGAUUCCUGAGAUACAUAUUUCAUCAUAAGUUGCUCUGAAUAAAGUAAAAUGUGAUCUCAGGUAUUAGCUUACUCUUAUGUAAGUAAAAGCUGGUCACAACAAUCUAAUUUGUGAUGACCUACAGAAAUAUGAAAAAAAAGAGAAUGCGCUUGAAUAUUAACUGCGCUGAUGCCUAUUCAAUCAAACCAAUCAUUAUUGUUACCUUAAGUGUUUCCAUUAUAUGACAUUUUGUGUCUACACUUCAAAAAAUGAAGAGUUCAACAUGAAUGGGGACAUUAAAUAAGAGUGAGGUGCUUAUUUAAUUUUAUGUUUUUUGGGGUAAACAUGAAUUCCAUCUUAUGAUUUGCACCAACAAAAGAUGCACCGGCUCAGUUUU